This is a long non-coding RNA of Scylla paramamosain (green mud crab), 421 nucleotides long. RefSeq lists it as uncharacterized. Lineage: Eukaryota; Metazoa; Arthropoda; Malacostraca; Decapoda; Portunidae. The transcript is spliced from 3 exons. The record is from RefSeq and is a predicted model, not a curated record.
AGAAUUUUGCAUGUGUGGCGGCAUCAACCUUGAAACUGAUUGCAGCAACUGCUUCGAUCCAGAUACUUUAACUUUGGACGAAAUCUUGGCAUGCCUCACCGGAGUUGAUAUUGAUACUGACCUCGCUGCAGAAUGUGCAAGACCCACCCGCCCCUCUCGCUUUUAAUGACAUCACGGACAGAACCAUAACAAAACUGGCUGCUGUUGUUGCUGUUCCUGUGAUGUCGGCGUCACCACAGCAACAAGUAAACUGAAACUGAACACCCGCCACUUCUCUUCCUCCUUCGUCGCCAACUUCAGCUGCACCACCAUCACCACUUCUUGCAGACACCGCCCUUCUGAUGCCCUCUGCGCCUGUCUGCCUGUCUGUCUACCUGUCUGUCUGUGUUGCACUCUUCACCACGAUAAAGCCUCGCAAAAG